Molecule: RNA transcript, 4735 nt
Organism: Labrus mixtus (cuckoo wrasse)
Lineage: Eukaryota; Metazoa; Chordata; Actinopteri; Labriformes; Labridae
Gene: esrp1
Gene name: epithelial splicing regulatory protein 1
Exons: 16
Source: RefSeq, a predicted model, not a curated record
CGUUCAGCCAUUACUCCGCGAUGGUGACUGCGCGAGGCUUCACGUACAAUCUCUCGCGCGUCGAAACUUGGAUUUAACGAAGCUCACCUUUGCGCUCAGGUGUCAAAGUAAAGGUGUUCAUUGCUCUCCCGCGUGUAUCCCGUCACCGACGUAUCUUCAGUUAGUGACCUGUGAUUUAGUAAAGUAUCAGUACAUUAGUUUUUGGGGGCUGUGUUUGUGUUCAGAUGACGGCGCAGGUAGACUACCUGGUGGUGGUUUUCACCGCCACAUCUGGCGCGAGCGGAGAGCUGCUGGGAUCUGACGAGAAGGAGCUCGUGCAGUUGGUUUGGCAGCUGGUGGAUGUGAAGAACAAAAAGUUGGGCAAGGUGAAUGAGCUCCUUAUUAAGCCUGACCUCUCAGAGUCACGGGAGAAAGAGGAGGAGGAGGAGGAGGAGGAGGAUGUUGUGGAAGAGAGCGUGGAAGAGGAGCAUGGAUCCAGAGCCGACAGUGUCUUUACAGCCUCAAGUCUUGAGUCAGCAUUGAACCAGUUUCAUCUACAACUGACAAAUGAGGUGAACAGCGCGGGCACAGGCACGUCGGUGUGUUUGUGUACAGACGGGCAGCUUCACAUCCGUCAAGUGAUUCACCCUGAGGCUGCCAGCAAGUACAUCCUGGUCCCCGACUGUUUCUUCUCUUUCUUUGACCUUCGUAAAGAGUUCAAGGAGCACUUCCCCACAUCUGACCUCAAGGCUCUGAAUAUACACGAUAUGGCAGAAGCUCUUAGUAUACCUGUGGAUGUUCCUGCUAUGUUGGACCCCUCAGCCACACCGGACCCCUCAGCCACACCGGACCCCUCAGCCACAAUGGAAACCUUAGCAACACCAGACCCCUCAUCAUCACCGGACCCCUCAGCCGUAUUACCUGCAGAGGUAGCAGUACAGCAGGUCCAGACCAUGACCAGCAUUGUCCUUGCGCUGCUUUCUGAGCCAAAUUGCCACACAUUUUCUUGCCAGGAGAGAGUCAGUGAGAAGUUUGAGACAGGCACUUGCAGUAAGAUGGAGAAAGUGUGCGACAACACAGUGAUCAGAGCCAGAGGGUUGCCAUGGCAGUCCUCUGACCAGGACAUUGCUCGCUUCUUCAGGGGACUUAACAUUGCCAAAGGAGGGGCUGCAUUGUGUCUAAAUGCUCAGGGGAGGAGGAACGGAGAAGCUCUUGUUCGUUUCGUCAGUGAGGAACACAGAGAUCUGGCGCUGAAGAGACACAAACACCAUAUGGGCAGCAGAUAUAUAGAGGUUUAUAAAGCAACAGGGGAGGACUUCCUGAAGAUAGCAGGAGGUACCUCCAAUGAGGUAGCCAUGUUCUUGUCGCGUGAGGACCAGAUCAUAGUGAGGAUGCGAGGGCUUCCUUUCACAGCCACACACGAGCAGGUGCUCAACUUUUUCUCCCCGGAGGAGGGGAUUAAAGAGACUUGUCCAGUCAGUGGAGAGAAAGACGGCAUCCUAUUUGUGCGCUAUCCUGAUGGGCGUCCCACUGGCGACGCCUUUGUUUUAUUUGCCUGUGAGGAGCACGCCCAGUGUGCUCUGAGGAAACACAAAGAAAUCCUGGGGAGGAGAUAUAUUGAGCUGUUUAAAAGCACAGCAGCAGAGGUCCAACAGGUAUUGAACAGGUACUCAUCAGCCCCUCUGAUCCCUGUGGCCCCUGCCCCCCUGGUGUCCAUGCUGCCCUCAGUCCCUCUUCUGCCCCCUCCUGGUGGUUUAAGGGACUGUUUGAGGCUGAGGGGGCUGCCAUACACAGCGAGCAUAGAGGACAUCCUCACCUUCCUGGGCGAGUUUACACAUGAUAUCAGACCACAUGGUGUGCACAUGGUCCUUAACCAGCAGGGUCGCCCAUCAGGUGACUGCUUCAUCCAAAUGACCUCAGCAGAGCGAGCACUUCAGGCCUCACAGCGGCUCCACAAGCAUGUGAUGUCCAGCCAACGCGGGGCCAACAGCCGCUAUGUGGAGGUGUUCCCCUGCAGUGCUGAGGAGAUGGGCCUGGUGCUGAUGGGAGGCUCACUCUCACACACACAUACACUCACACACACCAGGAGUAGGAGUGGGACAGGGCUCAGCCCGCCGCCAUGUAAGUCCAGACGUUUAUCUCCGCCCUCCUACUCCUUCGCCCCUGCUCAUCCUGUCCUGACCACAGAGGCUGCUGCUGCACUCUAUCCUCCCAUGGGUCAGAUGCUGCUGACCCCGCGCCCUAUGCAUACAGGACAUGCCUACUACCCCGCUUCAGCUCAGUUAUACAUGAACUACACAGCCUACUAUCCCAGCCCACCUGGCUCACCUACCACCUUAGGUUUCUACCCCUCCCCCUCCUCCCUCUCCACCCCAGGGGGGUUGGUGCGCAUGCCAGGUCUGACCUACAGCAGCUCCGGAGUCAAGGACCUCAUUAGCACAAUGCAGGGUUACCAGUAUGCCCCCGAGGAUGCUCUCAUGCACGCUCACGGGCCUGUGCAUGCUCACGACCCGACCGGGACAUUGCUUACGCAUCCCAAAGAAUGGGUGUGUAUUUAAGGUGUCUGAGGCAGGUGGCAGGUAAGGAUUGGCUGAGGGCUCUGUGAGGGGGAUUUAGUUUGGAGCGGGGCUAUAGCACUGGUUUUGGGUCUUUGAUCAUCCCACUGGGGAAUAUGGGCCAAUGCAAGGCAUUUCCUAUUCACACACACAAACUACAAGAAUGGGCACAUUUGAUGAUUGGGUUAUUUCUUUUAUUUUAAUUAUGGCUGGAUUUACUGAAUGAUUUAAGAUAUGGUGUUCUUUUCUUUCACAGACAGAAUAAGACCCAUUUAUGGACACACACUUUAACAACUACUGACUACAACAUUUCUGUGCUAUCAAUAUGUUAUUUAGACAUAAAAAAAACAGGGCUUGUAGAGAAUUUGCUUUAGCCGGCCUUUAAAAAGCGAUUGUCUAAUGAAAGCUAAGCAACUGAAAUAAGGUACAGCAGGCCUGUCAAGCUUUGUAUUUCUUCAAAUUCCAAAACAUUGUGAAUUGCUCUCUUAGAUUAGCUGUAAUCUGUAUCUAAGGAGUGUGGACAUUGGUGAAUUUUUUCUUGUCAUGGUAAAUGGCACUAUGUGCUGUGUAAGAACAAAAAGCUUGACAGGCAUAGCACCAGUAGCUAUUGGGCUGGAGGGCUAAGCUAACAGUCAGUUGCUGUUGUGGUAGUAAUAAUAGAUGGGUAAUAACAGGUAAAUCCUUCAGGUGGUUGAGAAGGUGAUGGGUAACUCUGGUGCUGGUAUUAGGGCUCUGUGUUUCAUGCUUUUACACCAGGAUAAUACUCAUCUGUCUCUUUUUUCUCUCCUUUCCCCAACCCCCACCCACCCACUCCAGAGUCCUGCGGAGUCCAUUUCUCUCCUGAACAGCAGUCUGAUCGGUCAGUCCAGCAGAGGUGAUGCUCCUCUCAUGUCCCUCCCCGCUCUCAUGACCAAGCCGUCCGGGCAGUACCUGGACCUGACCCUGCUGUAGAGAUGCAAAUACAUAAAGGUCAUGUGACAAUUUGGUAAACAUCAGUGACUUUUAAUGUUUUUUAGGCUUUUGAAAAGUAGUCUUUUAGAUGUGAUAUUUAUAUCUUUAAGAACAGAAAUUAAUCUAUUUUAUACCAAAAUCAUUGUGGCCUUAUAGCCAAACAUAGCUGUUUUGUCUUAUAUUGCACAGUCUGUAUUUUAAAAGCUUUAUAGAGAUUUUUUAAACAUGUUAUGAUAUUGUGAUUAAUAUGAUAUAUUUGCUAGCCAAACUAGAGAAGAAUGACUUAGAAUCUGAGCGCAAACCUUUCCUUAAGCUUCUUUUCUUAAGUCUGUGAAGAGAGAAUGUGUGUGUGAGUGUGUUUUAGUGUGAAAGAGAUAAAAGUGAGUAUUAUGCAUAGCUGUGUCGAUGCUUCUUUAUACUUAAAUCUGUUAAUGCAAAACACUGUGUUUAUAUACAUUUGAUACAGUAUACAGUGAUUGUAUUGGAAGCUUUAGUGCAUGAUGAAGUAAGUAGUUAAACUUUAAGAUGUUUACAGUAUGCCAAAUAUCAAUGCACUGUUAAUAAACAAGACUACUAAUGUAUAUCAUAGCAGUAUCUUUGUUACACUGUGAGUUUGUCAGUAGUCUAAUUCUUGCAUCAGGUUUCACUUACAAAAAUGUGACAUCUCACACCUACCCCUACUUUCCCUCCUUUAUAUGUCAUGUGUACAUGUUGUGUAAUGCCAGUGUUGUCUUGCCUUUUGUUUUCGACCAACAUCUGAACAGAGGACCGUCCCGGCCCUUUGUAACCUGACCAGAGUUACCAUCAUUAAGAGGACUCGUGUCACAAGCUCAAAGUUAACUGAGUGAAUCUGAGCAGCCAAAGGGGGUUUCUAAAAGAUUUUAUUACACAUUUUGCUCCACAGAGUCUUACAUGUCCAUCACACUUCUCUUGCCUUCUCUCUACCAUCUAUGCUGGAUUAAUGCAGCGAGGUAAACAUGCUCCCUGUAGAAAUCCCUUUGUCAUUUGAUGAUAUAAAUUAAAUCAUCUUGAGAUUAGAGGGACAGUUGAAAAGGAAAGGUAAUGAAGCCACCUCUGACAUACAUCUUGUGAAUUGUUGUUUGUGCCCUCCAAAGUUGCUGUAAACAUGUCAUACUGUAGGACUUCCUGCUGCUCAGGACAUCCUGCUAUGGCCAUGCUGAAAAAAAAACAAAAAAACAAGAACAAUAAACAUAACGUGAAGUCUGCCAUCCUUCACCUGUUUGAUUUCA